UGAUGAGUGUAACAGCGGGGACAACCUGUGCCAACGCAACGCCAACUGCAUCAACAUCCCAGGAAGUUACCGCUGCGAGUGUUCGCCGGGAUUCAAACUGUCGCCCAGCGGGGCCUGUGUGGACCGUAAUGAGUGCCAGGAGAUCCCUAACGUGUGCAGCCAUGGAGAGUGCAUCGACACGCAGGGGAGCUACCGCUGCAUCUGCCAGAACGGAUUCAAGGCCACUGCCGACCAGACCAUGUGCAUGGACAGGGAUGAGUUUGACA
Notothenia coriiceps (black rockcod) is the source of this 266-nucleotide long non-coding RNA. RefSeq lists it as uncharacterized. NCBI's taxonomy places the organism in Eukaryota, Metazoa, Chordata, Actinopteri, Perciformes, Nototheniidae. The record is from RefSeq and is a predicted model, not a curated record. The transcript is spliced from 4 exons.